UACGUAGGGUGCGAGCGUUAAUCGGAAUUACUGGGCGUAAAGCGUGCGCAGGCGGUGAUGUAAGACUGAUGUGAAAUCCCCGGGCUUAACCUGGGAACUGCAUUGGUGACUGCAUUGCUGGAGUAUGGCAGAGGGGGGUGGAAUUCCACGUGUAGCAGUGAAAUGCGUAGAGAUGUGGAGGAACACCGAUGGCGAAGGCAGCCCCCUGGGCCAAUACUGACGCUCAUGCACGAAAGCGUGGGGAGCAAACAGG
Molecule: ribosomal RNA, 253 nt
Filed under: uncultured bacterium
Lineage: Bacteria
Description: partial 16S ribosomal RNA
Rfam family: Bacterial small subunit ribosomal RNA
Source: RNAcentral